UCAAAAGCAUUGAAGGGGAACAGUAAAAAGGCAGAGCUUUAAAGAGAGGAGGCCGCAUGGUGAAAGGCUUUCAGGAGUGCUCCUUUUGAACCCGCCCCGGAGCUGGAUUGCUGAAAAUAAGUAGGCAAUUCCGUGGAAGACGCGUUAAGUCGAAAAAGAGGGUGCAGAAGCAGCUGCGCCAAUUAGAGUGGUACCGCGAACCGGGCUGUUCGUCUCUAUU
This 220-nucleotide non-coding RNA is filed under the name Peptoclostridium acidaminophilum. RNAcentral describes it as "T-box sequence". It matches the Rfam family "T-box leader". From Rfam's summary of the family: Uncharged tRNA acts as the effector for transcription antitermination of genes in the T-box leader family. T-boxes are found upstream of many aminoacyl-tRNA synthetase genes and some amino acid biosynthetic genes usually in Gram-positive bacteria. The record is from RNAcentral. Lineage: Bacteria; Bacillati; Bacillota; Clostridia; Peptostreptococcales; Peptoclostridiaceae.